AAAAAUAUCAGAAAAUCAAGCAUCUAAAAACAUAAGGAAAAAUACUCUUCCAUUGAAAAUGUUUUGGGGAAUUCUUAUAACAUUGAUUCUGGGACUGCUUGAAACGAAAGAGGCUAGAAAAUGAGAUGAAUCUGCUAGUCUUCGAGUUUUCUGGUUCACUUUCGAUUGGAUUUUUGUUCUGAUCCUUAUAUUAUUCACUGUGGGUUCAAAAUUAGGACUUGGUCUUGAGCUAAGUUAGAUAUUUGGGGGUUGUUGAUCUUGAGUUAUUAUUCUAUUGGAUGUUUUGCUGCUGAUUGCCACUGCUGAACCUCUCAUAUCUCUAUUCUUUUGCUUUCCACUUUUCAGUUAUAUUUUGG
This 356-nucleotide long non-coding RNA is filed under the name Nicotiana benthamiana. RNAcentral describes it as "long non-coding RNA (NBEN_LNC018926)". Lineage: Eukaryota; Viridiplantae; Streptophyta; Magnoliopsida; Solanales; Solanaceae. The record is from RNAcentral.